CCUACGGGAGGCAGCAGUAGGGAAUUUUCGUCAAUGGGCGCAAGCCUGAACGAGCAAUGCCGCGUGAACGAGGAAGGUCUUCGGAUCGUAAAGUUCUGUUGAAGGGGAAAAAGAGCGGAGAGAGGAAAUGGUCUCCGAUUGAUAUUACCCUUCGAGGAAGUCACGGCUAACUACGUGCCAGCAGCCGCGGUAAUACGUAGGUGGCGAGCGUUAUCCGGAAUGAUUGGGCGUAAAGGGUGCGUAGGCGGCCUGCUAAGUCUGGAGUGAAAGGUACCGGCUCAACCGGUACAGGCUCUGGAAACUGGCGGGCUAGAGAGCAGGAGAGGGCGUUGGAACUCCAUGGGUAGCGAUAAAAUGCGUAGAUAUAUGGAAGAACACCAGUGGCGAAGGCGGCCGCCUGGCCUGUUAACUGACGCUGAGGCACGAAAGCGUGGGGAGCAAAUAGGAUUAGAUACCCCUGUAGUC
This 465-nucleotide ribosomal RNA is filed under the name uncultured bacterium. RNAcentral describes it as "partial 16S ribosomal RNA". It matches the Rfam family "Bacterial small subunit ribosomal RNA", at positions 338 to 795 of the family's 1533-position model. The record is from RNAcentral.